RNAcentral lists this long non-coding RNA (376 nucleotides) under Heterocephalus glaber (naked mole-rat). RNAcentral's name for it is "lncRNA (ENSHGLG00000047285.1)". The record is from RNAcentral. Lineage: Eukaryota; Metazoa; Chordata; Mammalia; Rodentia; Bathyergidae.
CUUAGUUAGAAGCUUCCUUUUGCCCAGAAAUUAUCGUGCAGCUGAGUGAUAAGAAUGAAUCCAACCAAGUUUGAUCUCGGAUUUCCAUUGCACAGAAAAUAAGCGAGCCUGCACAUGAAGCCUUAGAAGGGGUGGCUGAGGAAAGACGCUUACUCACCGGGCCCCUGAGCCUCUUUGGCUGCCAGACUCAGCGAGGAGACAGCUUCUGUCUCACUUCAUUCUGCCCAGCUGAUGCUCAAGGUCCACAUCCGUAGGAACUGCCCUGCCGGAUUUGACACAGGUGACUCCACUUCGGUUCUGACGGCUUCUGCAAGACCUCUUGGUUGCCUUCAGGAUCCUCUUGCACCAGCCCACUCACCAUUCAUCACGUUUUCUC